UGCCCAGCAACUCCUAUCCCUACCACCUCGUGGUACUGGCCGGGGUACGAGUAACCUUAGGCAGAUCGGGUAACCAACACCGGUGGG
Molecule: ribozyme, 87 nt
Filed under: Aedes aegypti (yellow fever mosquito)
Lineage: Eukaryota; Metazoa; Arthropoda; Insecta; Diptera; Culicidae
Description: drz-agam-1 ribozyme
Rfam family: drz-agam-1 ribozyme
Source: Rfam by way of RNAcentral